AACGAACGCUGGCGGCAUGCCUAACACAUGCAAGUCGAACGAAGGCUUCGGCCUUAGUGGCGCACGGGUGCGUAACGCGUGGGAAUCUGCCCUUUGGUUCGGAAUAACAGCUGGAAACGGCUGCUAAUACCGGAUGAUGACGAAAGUCCAAAGAUUUAUCGCCAGAGGAUGAGCCCGCGUUGGAUUAGGUAGUUGGUGGGGUAAAGGCCUACCAAGCCGACGAUCCAUAGCUGGUCUGAGAGGAUGAUCAGCCACACUGGGACUGAGACACGGCCCAGACUCCUACGGGAGGCGGCGGGGGGGAAUAUUGAAAAAGGGGCGAAGGCCUGAUCAAGCAAGGCGGGGGGAGUGAUGAAGGCCUUAGGGUUGAAAAGCUCUUUUCCCCGGGAAGAUAAUGACGUAACGGGGAGAAAAAGCCCCGGCUAACUCCGUG
This 433-nucleotide ribosomal RNA is filed under the name uncultured bacterium. RNAcentral's name for it is "partial 16S ribosomal RNA". It matches the Rfam family "Bacterial small subunit ribosomal RNA", at positions 29 to 507 of the family's 1533-position model. The record is from RNAcentral.